CUCGUAGGCGGCCAACUAAGUCCGACGUGAAAUCCCAAGGCUCAACCUUGGAACUGCGUCGGAUACUGGAUGGCUUGAAUUCGGGAGAGGGAUGCAGAAUUCCAGGUGUAGCGGUGAAAUGCGUAGAUAUCUGGAGGAAUACCGGUGGCGAAGGCGGCAUCCUGGACCGACAUUGACGCUGAGGAGCGAAAGCUAGGGGGGCAAACG
RNAcentral lists this ribosomal RNA (207 nucleotides) under uncultured bacterium. Its description in RNAcentral is "partial 16S ribosomal RNA". It matches the Rfam family "Bacterial small subunit ribosomal RNA", at positions 568 to 774 of the family's 1533-position model. The record is from RNAcentral.